UCCUACGGGGGGCAGCAGUGGGGAAUAUUGGGCAAUGGGCGCAAGCCUGACCCAGCAACGCCGCGUGAAGGAAGAAGGCCCUCGGGUUGUAAACUUCUUUUCUAUAGGACGAAGAAGUGACGGUACUAUAGGAAUAAGCCACGGCUAACUACGUGCCAGCAGCCGCGGUAAUACGUAGGUGGCGAGCGUUAUCCGGAUUUACUGGGUGUAAAGGGCGUGUAGGCGGGAGAGCAAGUCAGAUGUGAAAACUACAGGCUUAACCUGUAGCCUGCAUUUGAAACUGUUCUUCUUGAGUGAUGGAGAGG
This 305-nucleotide ribosomal RNA is filed under the name uncultured bacterium. RNAcentral's name for it is "bacterial SSU rRNA". It matches the Rfam family "Bacterial small subunit ribosomal RNA", at positions 337 to 657 of the family's 1533-position model. The record is from RNAcentral.